Molecule: ribosomal RNA, 284 nt
Filed under: uncultured bacterium
Lineage: Bacteria
Description: partial 16S ribosomal RNA
Source: RNAcentral
GGACUACCGGGGUUUCUAAUCCCGAUCGAUACCCAUGCCUUCGUACCUUAGUGUCAGUCUUCAAUAGUAACAUGCUUUCGCCGCUUCGCAACCCUUCAAGUAUCUAGGUAUUGUUACACUCCACUUGCUGUAUUUGUUACUUCUUUUGACUCUAGUAUAGUAAUAUCAAUUACACUAUUAAAGCGUUUUUUACUCACAGAUUAAACUAUACCACCUACGUACCCUUUAGACCCAUUAAUGACGAGUAACGCUUGCCUCGCACGUAUUACCGCGGCUGCUGGCAC